Molecule: small RNA, 1189 nt
Filed under: Arabidopsis thaliana (thale cress)
Lineage: Eukaryota; Viridiplantae; Streptophyta; Magnoliopsida; Brassicales; Brassicaceae
Description: ATSL170100
Source: RNAcentral
AUUCAUAUUUAGGGGUGUCAAAGUGGGUCAAGAUUUAUGGAUCAACUCAACUCAACGCAACUUUUGAACCCUAAUGAGUUGAAAUUUUUGACUCAAAUGAGUUGAUGGGUCAAAUGAGUUAUUGGGUCAAUUGGUUUGAUGAAUAAAAUGAGUUGGGUUGUAAUGAUUAAUGGUUUCAAUGGUUUACCCAAUUAACCCAUUAACCCAUAACUCAUUUAACCCUAAACUCAUUUGAUUAUGAGUUGAGUUGAGUUGGGUAACCCAUUUUGACACCCCAUAUAACCAAAAGAAUAAAAAAAAAAGAUAAGUUGGAGAGUAGACAGUUUUUGCUAAAAUAAUUUGAAAAGUAGACAUUUUUUUUUAGAGAUAGGAGGCAUAUGUAGUUUUAUCUCUCCUCUCUAAUAGAACUCCCUCUCAAAUACAACUUUUAGUAAAGUACUAUUUUACCCUUCUGUUGUUUUGAUGAAAUAAAAUGGACCUCAUUAAAAGCAGCCCAAUAUCAUCUUCAAUUUCGAAUUGUUCAUGGGCUUGACAUCAACUAAACCCCAUAUUUUCUUAAGUCAUUAGAACCAAACACACUCAUAAACCCUCGUCGUCGACAUCUUCAUCUGUACGGUAAAGACCUCGUCGUUGUCAAAAAAGGAUAAACCCUCGUCGUUGCCAAAAUCAUAGAGACAUUGUCAAUUUCAUACCAGAUGGAAGGUAUGUUUAUCAUAAAACGCUUUAAAGUUUUUGAAUUUUUGCUGUCAGCCAACUAAUAACUUUGACUCUGUUUUCGUUUUUUUUCAGGGGACGAAUCAUGCGUCUCCAUGGUCGGCCGCUGGAUUUGCUACUCGAAUGGUUGGUGGGACUUCAAAAUUGAUAAAACUAGGCCAGGAAAGGGGAAAAUGCUUAAUUAUUUCCUAAAAUAUCCAAAAUGCGCAGAUUAAUUCCCCAAUUACCUCAGACGCAUAAUAAACUCCCAAUUAUACUUUGACGUAGCAAAGUUAGACUUCAUUAUUGUCAACGUUAAAUAUUAAACAUGUCGUUAAAUAUGUCGAUUCUCAUCUUCUUCUUCUCCAAAUCAAAAACCCUAAAUUCCUAAAGCUUUAUCUUUAAACUCGAAACAAUCAACUGUAAAUCUACUUUCCAAACUUAUCUUCCCUAAAUCAAACAUCAAAACCUAAUCCGAUUGGCAAAACGAAAGUUU